This 115-nucleotide small RNA is filed under the name Arabidopsis thaliana (thale cress). RNAcentral describes it as "ATSL189930". The record is from RNAcentral. Lineage: Eukaryota; Viridiplantae; Streptophyta; Magnoliopsida; Brassicales; Brassicaceae.
UAUAGAAACUUAUAUAACACAGAGAUUUGAUAAUUUUUUAAUUGUUGAAUAUUUUUUUUUUGUGCUAAUUUUUAUGUGAUUAAGAUUUAAUUGAUUUCGUAUAUAAAAUAUUAAU